This 810-nucleotide ribosomal RNA is filed under the name uncultured cyanobacterium. RNAcentral describes it as "bacterial SSU rRNA". It matches the Rfam family "Bacterial small subunit ribosomal RNA", at positions 621 to 1433 of the family's 1533-position model. The record is from RNAcentral. Lineage: Bacteria; Bacillati; Cyanobacteriota.
CGGCGGUGGAAACUGAUGAACUAGAGGGUGGUAGGGGUCACGGGAAUCCCAGUGUAGCGGUGAAAUGCGUAGAUAUUGGGAAGAACACCAGCGGCGAAAGCGCGUGACUGGGCCAUUACUGACACUCAUGGACGAAAGCUAGGGGAGCGAAAGGGAUUAGAUACCCCUGUAGUCCUAGCCGUAAACGAUGGACACUAGGUGUUGCCCGAUCGACCCGGGCAGUGCCGUAGCUAACGCGUUAAGUGUCCCGCCUGGGGAGUACGCACGCAAGUGUGAAACUCAAAGGAAUUGACGGGGGCCCGCACAAGCGGUGGAGUAUGUGGUUUAAUUCGAUGCAACGCGAAGAACCUUACCAGGGCUUGACAUGUCGCGAAUCCCCUUGAAAGGGGGGAGUGCCUUCGGGAGCGCGAGCACAGGUGGUGCAUGGCUGUCGUCAGCUCGUGUCGUGAGAUGUUGGGUUAAGUCCCGCAACGAGCGCAACCCACGUUUCUAGUUGCCAGCAUUCAGUUGGGCACUUUAGAGAGACUGCCGGUGACAAACCGGAGGAAGGUGUGGAUGACGUCAAGUCAGCAUGCCCCUUACGUCCUGGGCUACACACGUACUACAAUGCUUCGGACAGAGGGUUGCCAGCCCGCGAGGGUGCGCUAAUCCCGUAAACCGAGGCUCAGUUCAGAUUGCAGGCUGCAACUCGCCUGCAUGAAGGCGGAAUCGCUAGUAAUCGCCGGUCAGCAUACGGCGGUGAAUACGUUCCCGGGCCUUGUACACACCGCCCGUCACACCAUGGGAGUUGGCCACGCCCGAAGUUGUUAC